RNAcentral lists this ribosomal RNA (108 nucleotides) under Stegodyphus mimosarum. RNAcentral describes it as "eukaryotic large subunit ribosomal RNA". It matches the Rfam family "Eukaryotic large subunit ribosomal RNA", at positions 1213 to 1332 of the family's 3401-position model. The record is from Rfam by way of RNAcentral. Lineage: Eukaryota; Metazoa; Arthropoda; Arachnida; Araneae; Eresidae.
CAGGAAACGGCCCGUGCAGGACGGUGGCCAUGGAAGUCGGAAUCCGCUAAGGAGUGUGUAACAACUCACCUGCCGAAGCAACUAGCCCUGAAAAUGGAUGGCGCUCCA